CCACAUCACGUUGAAAUAUUGGUUCCCGUACGAUCACCGAAGUUAAGCAAUGUCAAGUCUGGUUGGCACGUAGAUGGGUGACCACUUGUGAAUACCAGAUGUUGUAAG
Acanthosepion pharaonis is the source of this 108-nucleotide non-coding RNA. Lineage: Eukaryota; Metazoa; Mollusca; Cephalopoda; Sepiida; Sepiidae. The record is from the annotation of a GenBank genome assembly.